AUGUCACGCCGCUAUACCAUCACACUGAUCUCCCGCCUCCGAGUCCCCCGCCGCUGCUCCUCCUCCACCUCCAUCUCGCCGCCCUCACGCUCCUGGUCUCCCCGCGACGCCUUUGCCGCGGCCACAGAGCGCGUGCGCGCCGGCACGCUCAGCCCGGAAGAUGCACACAACCUGUUCGAUGAAUUGCUGCGGCAGGGCACUCCGGUCCCCGAGCGCUCCCUGAACGGCUUCCUUGCCGCCCUCACCCGUGCUACGUCCUCCAAUGCCUGCAUCAAAGAUGGCCCCGCCCUCGCCCUUGCUCUCUUCACCCGAGGGUGCAGAGAAGAAGCCGGCCCGCAGGUGGCGGUGCCCACCGUUUGGACCUACAACAUCCUCAUGGACUGCUGCUGCCGCGCGCGUCGCCCAGACCUAGGGCUCGCCUUAUUCGGGUGUAUCCUCAGGACGGGGUUGAAGAUAGACCAAAUCACCGCCAACACCCUCCUCAAGUGCCUCUGCUAUGCGAAACGGACAGAAGAGGCUGUGUACGUGCUGCUUCAUAGUAUGUCCAAGCUCGGAUGUGUGCCUGAUGCCUUCGCAUACAACAUAGUUCUUAAGAGCUUAUGUGUGUAG
RNAcentral lists this ribosomal RNA (609 nucleotides) under Triticum aestivum (bread wheat). RNAcentral's name for it is "partial small subunit ribosomal RNA". Lineage: Eukaryota; Viridiplantae; Streptophyta; Magnoliopsida; Poales; Poaceae. The record is from RNAcentral.